GGUUAAGCGACUAAGCGUACACGGUGGAUGCCCUGGCAGUCAGAGGCGAUGAAGGGCGUGCUAAUCUGCGAUAAGCGCCGGUAAGGUGAUAUGAACCGUUAUAACCGGCGAUACCCGAAUGGGGAAACCCAGUGUGAUUCGUCACACUAUCAUUAACUGAAUCCAUAGGUUAAUGAGGCGAACCGGGGGAACUGAAACAUCUAAGUACCCCGAGGAAAAGAAAUCAACCGAGAUUCCCCCAGUAGCGGCGAGCGAACGGGGAGGAGCCCAGAGCCUGAAUCAGCAUGUGUGUUAGUGGAAGCGUCUGGAAAGGCGCGCGAUACAGGGUGACAGCCCCGUACACAAAAGCGCAUGUGCUGUGAGCUCGAUGAGUAGGGCGGGACACGUGGUAUCCUGUCUGAAUAUGGGGGGACCAUCCUCCAAGGCUAAAUACUCCUGACUGACCGAUAGUGAACCAGUACCGUGAGGGAAAGGCGAAAAGAACCCCGGCGAGGGGAGUGAAAAAGAACCUGAAACCGUGUACGUACAAGCAGUGGGAGCCCCACCACUAAGCCAGUGGUGAACUCCACAUCCGCAUCCUUUGCUGAGGAUACGGUUAACGGAGCGAAAGCGACGUUCAACCGCAAAACAAGCAGAGGGGGCUUAGUGGUGGGGUGACUGCGUACCUUUUGUAUAAUGGGUCAGCGACUUAUAUUCUGUAGCAAGGUUAACCGAAUAGGGGAGCCGGAGGGAAACCGAGUCUUAAUUGGGCGUUAAGUUGCAGGGUAUAGACCCGAAACCCGGUGAUCUAGCCAUGGGCAGGUUGAAGGUUGGGUAACACUAACUGGAGGACCGAACCGACUAAUGUUGAAAAAUUAGCGGAUGACCUGUGGCUGGGGGUGAAAGGCCAAUCAAACCGGGAGAUAGCUGGUUCUCCCCGAAAGCUAUUUAGGUAGCGCCUCGUGAAUUCAUCUCCGGGGGUAGAGCACUGUUUCGGCUAGGGGGCCAUCCCGGCUUACCAACCCGAUGCAAACUGCGAAUACCGGAGAAUGUUAUCACGGGAGACACACGGCGGGUGCUAACGUCCGUCGUGAAGAGGGAAACAACCCAGACCGCCAGCUAAGGUCCCAAAGUCAUGGUUAAGUGGGAAACGAUGUGGGAAGGCCCAGACAGCCAGGAUGUUGGCUUAGAAGCAGCCAUCAUUUAAAGAAAGCGUAAUAGCUCACUGGUCGAGUCGGCCUGCGCGGAAGAUGUAACGGGGCUAAACCAUGCACCGAAGCUGCGGCAGCGAACGUAUCACCCAAGACAACUUUACGGAGUUGACGAUUGACGGAGCGAAGCGACGUCAAAGCGUUCAUUAAAGUCGAGUUGGCUUAGGGAUACGUUCGUUGGGUAGGGGAGCGUUCUGUAAGCCUGUGAAGGUGUGUCGUGAGGCAUGCUGGAGGUAUCAGAAGUGCGAAUGCUGACAUAAGUAACGAUAAAGCGGGUGAAAAGCCCGCUCGCCGGAAGACCAAGGGUUCCUGUCCAACGUUAAUCGGGGCAGGGUGAGUCGACCCCUAAGGCGAGGCCGAAAGGCGUAGUCGAUGGGAAACGGGUUAAUAUUCCCGUACUUGGUGUUACUGCGAAGGGGGACGGAGAAGGCUAUGUUGGCCGGGCGACGGUUGUCCCGGUUUAAGCGUGUAGGUGUGUGUUCCAGGUAAAUCCGGUUCACUUUAACACUGAGGCGUGACGACGAGGCACUACGGUGCUGAAGCAACAAAUGCCCUGCUUCCAGGAAAAGCCUCUAAGCAUCAGGUAACACGAAAUCGUACCCCAAACCGACACAGGUGGUCAGGUAGAGAAUACCAAGGCGCUUGAGAGAACUCGGGUGAAGGAACUAGGCAAAAUGGUGCCGUAACUUCGGGAGAAGGCACGCUGACACGUAGGUGAAGUGAUUUACUCAUGGAGCUGAAGUCAGUCGAAGAUACCAGCUGGCUGCAACUGUUUAUUAAAAACACAGCACUGUGCAAACACGAAAGUGGACGUAUACGGUGUGACGCCUGCCCGGUGCCGGAAGGUUAAUUGAUGGGGUCAGCGCAAGCGAAGCUCCUGAUCGAAGCCCCGGUAAACGGCGGCCGUAACUAUAACGGUCCUAAGGUAGCGAAAUUCCUUGUCGGGUAAGUUCCGACCUGCACGAAUGGCGUAAUGAUGGCCAGGCUGUCUCCACCCGAGACUCAGUGAAAUUGAACUCGCUGUGAAGAUGCAGUGUACCCGCGGCAAGACGGAAAGACCCCGUGAACCUUUACUAUAGCUUGACACUGAACAUUGAGCCUUGAUGUGUAGGAUAGGUGGGAGGCUUUGAAGUGUGGACGCCAGUCUGCAUGGAGCCGACCUUGAAAUACCACCCUUUAAUGUUUGAUGUUCUAACGUGGACCCGUAAUCCGGGUUGCGGACAGUGUCUGGUGGGUAGUUUGACUGGGGCGGUCUCCUCCUAAAGAGUAACGGAGGAGCACGAAGGUUGGCUAAUCCUGGUCGGACAUCAGGAGGUUAGUGCAAUGGCAUAAGCCAGCUUGACUGCGAGCGUGACGGCGCGAGCAGGUGCGAAAGCAGGUCAUAGUGAUCCGGUGGUUCUGAAUGGAAGGGCCAUCGCUCAACGGAUAAAAGGUACUCCGGGGAUAACAGGCUGAUACCGCCCAAGAGUUCAUAUCGACGGCGGUGUUUGGCACCUCGAUGUCGGCUCAUCACAUCCUGGGGCUGAAGUAGGUCCAAGGGUAUGGCUGUUCGCCAUUUAAAGUGGUACGCGAGCUGGGUUUAGAACGUCGUGAGACAGUUCGGUCCCUAUCUGCCGUGGGCGCUGGAGAACUGAGGGGGCUGCUCCUAGUACGAGAGGACCGGAGUGGACGCAUCACUGGUGUUCGGGUUGUCAUGCCAAUGGCACUGCCCGGUAGCUAAAUGCGGAAGAGAUAAGUGCUGAAAGCAUCUAAGCACGAAACUUGCCCCGAGAUGAGUUCUCCCUGAGACUUAGAGUCUCCUGAAGGAACGUUGAAGACGACGACGUUGAUAGGCCGGGUGUGUAAGCGCAGCGAUGCGUUGAGCUAACCGGUACUAAUGAACCGUGAGGCUUAACCUU
RNAcentral lists this ribosomal RNA (3088 nucleotides) under Salmonella enterica. RNAcentral describes it as "23S ribosomal RNA". It matches the Rfam family "Bacterial large subunit ribosomal RNA". Lineage: Bacteria; Pseudomonadati; Pseudomonadota; Gammaproteobacteria; Enterobacterales; Enterobacteriaceae. The record is from RNAcentral.